CCUACGGGAGGCAGCAGUGGGGAAUAUUGCGCAAUGGGCGAAAGCCUGACGCAGCGACGCCGCGUGAGGGAUGAAGGUCUUCUGAUCGUAAACCUCUGUCAGCAGGGAAGUACGGUCACUGUGCUAAUCAGCAGUGAAUUGACGGUACCUGCAAAGGAAGCACCGGAUAACUCCGUGCCAGCAGCCGCGGUAAUACGGAGGGUGCGAGCGUUAAUCGGAAUUACUGGGCGUAAAGCGCUCGUAGGCGGUAUGUCAAGUCAAGGGUGAAAUCCCCGCGCUCAACGUGGGAACUGCCUUUGAAACUGGCAAACUGGAGUGGAUGAGAGGAGAGUGGAAUUCCAGGUGUAGGAGUGAAAGCCGUAGAUAUCUGGAGGAACAGCAGUGGCGAAGGCGACUAUCUGGCACAUAACUGACGCUGAGGAGCGAAAGCGUGGGUAGCAAACAGGAUUAGAUACCCUGGUAGUC
RNAcentral lists this ribosomal RNA (465 nucleotides) under uncultured bacterium. RNAcentral describes it as "partial 16S ribosomal RNA". It matches the Rfam family "Bacterial small subunit ribosomal RNA", at positions 338 to 795 of the family's 1533-position model. The record is from RNAcentral.